AAGUCAGAUGUGAAAGCCCCGGGCUUAACCUGGGAACUGCAUUUGAAACUGGUCAACUAGAGUAUGGUAGAGGAAAGUGGAAUUUCUGGUGUAGCGGUGAAAUGCGUAGAUAUCAGAAGGAACAUCAAUGGCGAAGGCAGCUUUCUGGACCAAUACUGACGCUGAGGUACGAAAGCGUGGGUAGCAAACAGGAUUAGAUACCCUGGUAGUCCACGCCGUAAACGAUGAUAACUAGCCGUUGGGGGGAUUUACCCCUUAGUGGCGAAGCUAACGCGUUAAGUUAUCCGCCUGGGGAGUACGGCCGCAAGGUUAAAACUCAAAUGAAUUGACGG
RNAcentral lists this ribosomal RNA (332 nucleotides) under uncultured bacterium. Its description in RNAcentral is "bacterial SSU rRNA". It matches the Rfam family "Bacterial small subunit ribosomal RNA", at positions 585 to 916 of the family's 1533-position model. The record is from RNAcentral.